This is a long non-coding RNA of Neodiprion fabricii, 811 nucleotides long. RefSeq lists it as uncharacterized. The record is from RefSeq and is a predicted model, not a curated record. The transcript has 3 exons. NCBI's taxonomy places the organism in Eukaryota, Metazoa, Arthropoda, Insecta, Hymenoptera, Diprionidae.
CGGACAAACUGGAUACACCUAAGUAAACACAAUGCGCAAUCUGGCCGCAUUGUCCGCCGACUCUUGAACGCCGCGGUUUUCAGAUUGGAUUUCUUCUCGCGUCGUACGUCUCGAUUAUCGUUGAUAAUAACUGAUAAACUUACAUCUGACUUGAAUUUUUGACAUCCCACGCACCGAACUGAACUACGGAACGAGGUGUAAAUGUAUCAAUGAUUGGAGAAGAGAAACGCUGGGGAUAUCUUGGCUCGAAAGUGAGGAACGUGGUGGGAAACGAGAUUAACGUACACGUAUGCAUGUACGUAGCGUGCAUUUAAUGCGCAGUGUGUACACACCACAAAUAAAACCCGUUCGUGGUUCACCAAACUAACGUCGUCAUUGUCGUCGUCCUUUCGAGGUCGGUUUUCACUCCGAGAUGGAAAACAGGGUCUUAAAGCAUAACCAAAUGUACAUGUGAUCCAUGUAGGAGACCACCUACUAGGUGUUAUCGUGUAAACCUCUGCAGCGCAGGUGUUUUAAUCACACUUGUUUCAGAACGUCCAAGUACGAGAAGAAUCGGGGCGUCGUCGUCGCAUUUGCAGAUACGUGGAGGGGCAUAGGUGUAGGCAGUGUUGCUGAGCUUGCACGGGGUCCGUUGGAACCGAGGGACGCUUUGUCCCCCUGGGAAUAAGAACUGAAACGGAGGAUUUACACGUGUACUUGCUAGAGCCGCAGCCCAGGGAGCAGAUAUAACCCGGAGCGUCUCGCCGCGGUCCCGACGCCGUCCUCGAGAGUGUUUAUGCUAAUCUGGAGCCAGGGUGGCCCGGAGCAACAG